Hibiscus syriacus is the source of this 200-nucleotide long non-coding RNA. RefSeq lists it as uncharacterized. Lineage: Eukaryota; Viridiplantae; Streptophyta; Magnoliopsida; Malvales; Malvaceae. The record is from RefSeq and is a predicted model, not a curated record. The transcript is spliced from 2 exons.
GUAAAAUAAGAUGUAUGCAUCCUCGGACAUCACUUGGCUCAUCGAGACUGAAUGUACCUGAAAGGGAUACACCAAAACCGCGUUUCAAUUCCAUUGCCAACAUAUUUUCAAUGAGCAGCUGGCGGUGAUAACUUUACCUCGGUAUCAUCUAACCUGAACCAGCUGCCUCGCAUAUCUUUUACAUAUGACACAUAGUGUCC